CUAGUACUCCCUCCGUCCCAAAAUUCUUGUCUUAUAGGAGUAUUUGUCUAAAUACAGAUGUAUCAAGUCACGUUUUAGUAUUAGAUACAUCUGUAUCUAGGCAAUUUUAAGACAAGAAUUUUGGGACGGAGGGAGUAUUUU
Non-coding RNA from Triticum aestivum (bread wheat), 141 nucleotides. NCBI's taxonomy places the organism in Eukaryota, Viridiplantae, Streptophyta, Magnoliopsida, Poales, Poaceae. The record is from Rfam.